Molecule: ribosomal RNA, 123 nt
Filed under: uncultured bacterium
Lineage: Bacteria
Description: partial 16S ribosomal RNA
Rfam family: Bacterial small subunit ribosomal RNA
Source: RNAcentral
AAUGCCGCGUGAACGAGGAAGGUCUUCGGAUCGUAAAGUUCUGUUGAAGGGGAAAAGAGCGGAGAGAGGAAAUGGUCUCCGAUUGAUAUUACCCUUCGAGGAAGUCACGGCUAACUACGUGCC